GUGAGGAAUUUUCCGCAAUGGGCGAAAGCCUGACGGAGCAAUGCCGCGUGAAGGAUGAAGGCCUAUGGGUUGUAAACUUCUUUUCUCAGAAAAGAAUUAUGACGGUAUCUGAGGAAUAAGCAUCGGCUAACUCUGUGCCAGCAGCCGCGGUAAGACAGCGGAUGCAAGCGUUAUCCGGAAUGAUUGGGCGUAAAGCGUCUGUAGGUUGUUUAAAAAGUAUUCUGUCAAAGAUUAGGGCUUAACCCUAGAUAGGCAGAAUAAACUUUUAAGCUAGAGUUUGGUAGAGGCAGAGGGAAUUCCCGGUGGAGCGGUGAAAUGCGUAGAUAUCGGGAGGAACACCAAAGGCGAAGGCACUCUGCUGGGCCAAUACUAACACUGAGAGACGAAAGCGAGGGGAGCAAAUGGGAUUAGAAACCCCGGUAGUCC
This 426-nucleotide ribosomal RNA is filed under the name uncultured bacterium. RNAcentral's name for it is "partial 16S ribosomal RNA". It matches the Rfam family "Bacterial small subunit ribosomal RNA", at positions 354 to 796 of the family's 1533-position model. The record is from RNAcentral.